AUGUAUCCGCGGACACUCCGGUUCCUCCGCGCCGUUCGCACCCACCUGGCGACUGCUUGCUCCGUUGUGUUACCC
This 75-nucleotide small RNA is filed under the name Xanthomonas campestris. Its description in RNAcentral is "sX9 sRNA". It matches the Rfam family "Xanthomonas sRNA sX9". RNAcentral also lists the same sequence under 2 other names. Lineage: Bacteria; Pseudomonadati; Pseudomonadota; Gammaproteobacteria; Lysobacterales; Lysobacteraceae. The record is from RNAcentral.